CCGCAAAUUGACACCGUAACUUCGGGAGAAGGUGUGCCGCUGGCGGUUAGUGACUUCGCGUCACGAAGCUGUUGGUGGUCGCAGUGAAAUGGCGGUUGUGACUGUUUACUAAAAACACAGGACUCUGCGAAGUCGUAAGACGACGUAUAGGGUCUGAUGCCUGCCCGGUGCUGGAAGGUUAAGGGGAUAUGUCAGCGCAAGCGAAGCAUUGAACCGAAGCCCCAGUAAACGGCGGCCGUAACUAUAACGGUCCUAAGGUAGCGAAAUUCCUUGUCGGGUAAGUUCCGACCUGCACGAGGGCAUAACAACAUCCGCACUGUCUCGACCAGGGACUCAGCGAAAUUACAUUGGGGGUGAAGAUGCCCUCUACCCGCGGAAAGACGGAAAGACCCCAUGAACCUUUACUGCAACUUGGCAGUGAUUUUCGGGUUGUUCUGCGUAGGAUAGGUGGGAGGCUUUGAAGCCGGGCUUCCGGGUUCGGCAGAGCCAACGUUGAAAUACCACCCUGAAUAAUCUGGAAAUCUAACCUGCGCCCAUGAUCUGGGCGAGGGACACUGCCUGGUGGGCAGUUUGACUGGGGCGGUCGCCUCCUAAAUUGUAACGGAGGCGUGCGACGGUUCCCUCAGGCUGAUUGGAAACCAGCCGUAGAGUGCAAACGCAUAAGGGAGCUUUACUGCGAGACUGACAAGUCGACCAGUUGCGAAAGCAGGUGUUAGUGAUCCGGUGGUACCACAUGGAAGGGCCAUCGCUCAUCGGAUAAAAGGUACUCUGGGAUAACAGGCUGAUCGCGCCUGAGAGUUCACAUCGGCGGCGCGGUUUGGCACCUCGAUGUCGGCUCAUCGCAUCCUGGGGCUGGAGCAGGUCCCAAGGGUUUGGCUGUUCGCCAAUUAAAGCGGUACGCGAGCUGGGUUUAAAACGUCGUGAGACAGUUUGGUCCCUAUCUUCCGUGGGCGCAGGAUACUUGAGAGGAGCUAUCCAUAGUACGAGAGGACCUGGAUGGACGAACCUCUGGUGCUCCGGUUGUCACGCCAGUGGCAUAGCCGGGUAGCCAUGUUCGGAACAGAUAACCGCUGAAGGCAUAUAAGCGGGAAGCUGGCCUCAAGACUAGGUAUCCCUGACGCAAGUCACUAAAGGCCCCUCGAAGACUACGAGGUUGAUAGGCUCGGUGUGGAAGCACAGCGAUGUGCGGAGCUAACGAGUACUAAUAGGCCGUGCGGCUUGACCUC
RNAcentral lists this ribosomal RNA (1226 nucleotides) under metagenome. RNAcentral describes it as "bacterial LSU rRNA". It matches the Rfam family "Bacterial large subunit ribosomal RNA", at positions 1715 to 2925 of the family's 2925-position model. The record is from RNAcentral.